This 1358-nucleotide long non-coding RNA is filed under the name Olea europaea subsp. europaea. The record is from RNAcentral. Lineage: Eukaryota; Viridiplantae; Streptophyta; Magnoliopsida; Lamiales; Oleaceae.
UGCCAACUUAUCAUUGUAGGUAUAGCAUUUCUUCUUCUUGGUAAUAUUUUCAAAGAGUAAACUGCAAAUUCAAUGAUAUACAACUCUGUGAUUGGUCUUUGUAUUUGAUCUGGUAAAUGGAGAAACUGAAUAACAAAGCCAAGAAAUAUGAACACGUUAAAUACCAGGCUGUUUUUCUUUGUGUUCUUCCUUGCUGCAAUCAUAUGCACCCUUUUAUUGUCAGAGACUUUAGCAUUAGAGCAAAUAACUUGGGGACCCGUGCUGUCUAGAUAAAUUAUCUACAUGAUCCUCAAGAGACAUAGCUCAAGUGCUUUCCAAGAGAUCUGCAAAGUAACACUUUCCUCUUAAAAAAUUAGAUAAAAACAGUUAUUGUAAUUUAUAUAACAGGCUGUUGCUCCUCUAUUUCUGUAGUUCAGAUGUGUAGUUCAGAUGUGCACAACUGGGUCUAUGGAAAGAACAGGUGGGUAAGACAAGGUUAAAUGAAUGGUCUCCAGAACAACAAAAUUUAUAUUGUUUCCUAGUAUCUUUUUUACUUGAAGUACGAGAGACCGCAUAUAUUUCUAAUACACCAAAAUUACAUCAUUCGUUUUUUUUUAUAGAAGUUGCUCAAGUUCGGAAAACCCAUUUCCAAAUUUUCGUGGGCCUGGUGAAACUGGGGACAGAAAGUCAGACUAUAAAAAUUUUGUCUAACCAAAUUAAAUCAUUGUACUCUCUCAAUGUUGAUAUAUGUCAUCUAGAAGUAAAGGACAACAUUGUUUGCCCCCCGGGCACUUCUCCGCUGAUAAAGGACGGGUUCUCUCAAAGUUGACAGAUCAGAGGUCGUGGGUUCGACUUUCGGAGCUCUUGGAAGGCAAGGCACAUACUGGAAGACAGGAUUUAUCCUGGAAGGCAGGAAUGUCUUGAAAGGCAAGACGCAACAUGGGUUGGUUCACUAGGCACUUUGGCAAUCCAAUUGGAGAGGUGCUCGGACCCUGGUCAGUUGGAGGUAAAUCCCGCGAUUUAAUUGGUCUGUGUGAAGAGGGGCCGGAUCACAGACCCAAAGAAUAGUCGCCGAAAGCGGACACCUUGAUAAAAAAAAAGGACAACAUUGUUUUUAUUAGUUGGAUAGCAUGCUCAACUGACAAGAUUACUAGCAUGAAAUAAAAUACAAAUUUGCAUUAUCCCUUUGAUAGAAAUGAUUCCACUACCUUAGACUUCUAAUGAACUUCAUGGAUCAGAUCUGUAACACAUUUCUAGCCUUUUGUACCUGUCUAAUCUCUCUACUAAAGUGUUCAUUACAUAAACUUGGAAGUUAAGGCAAUGUAGUUAACGUUGUGAUAUUUUUGACAAACAUGUUUUCAGGUCCGUUCUCUGCUACA